Molecule: long non-coding RNA, 742 nt
Organism: Harpia harpyja (harpy eagle)
Lineage: Eukaryota; Metazoa; Chordata; Aves; Accipitriformes; Accipitridae
Exons: 3
Source: RefSeq, a predicted model, not a curated record
GGGGGAACCGGCGCGCAGAAGGCGCAGCCCUUGCGACGGAGGAGUCUAAACUUGGCUCAGCUUCUGCGUACGCCUUCCUCAGACAGACGGGGAGAUAUAACUGCAUCUGCACUGAGUGGCUCAGGGCUUGAGGUUGCAUCUGGUCACCGCUCCCUGCCCUGAGCACGCUGCUCCCAUGGUGGGGAGAUGCUGACUCCAGUUUCCAGCCAGCUUUUCUCCCAGGGAAGCUCACGAACAAGUGCUGUGCCGGGCUUCAGACUGUUCCUCUUCCAACUUCCUCCGAUGUUCAUUUCUGCCAUCAUGGGCUCCUUUUUCACCCCACAGCUUUGAAAAGGUGAGAACAAUUUGUGAGGCAUGGCACUAUGCCCAAAACACUCAUCACUGCCAGAACUAGUUAAGAACUCUGUAUUUGAUAUCCUCCCACUUGGUGCUAGCGGGGCCAUUCUUACAAGGGUCACUGUCCAGCUGCUGUGUCUCUUAAGAAACCAUCAUUUUGUGUCCAUGUGAUGGCUGUCUUGAACAGAAAUCGUUCAAGACCUUUUUCUUUUUAUACUGUCCCAUUGUAUGGAUUGACUUUAGAAUCAGUCUUUCCAUCAACAACUCUGUAGAUAUUAUUCACAGCCUAGUGAUCUUUGCUAGAAGAGUUCGGCUAUCUGUUGGGAUAGACAUAGCCACAGAGAAAUUGGUACAGAGGUUUGAUGACCUAUGUUAAUCAGGAAAGACAUCACUGCAGCAAUUGUAU